UCUCGCAUUGCCCUGAAGCAGAGUGGGAGCACUGAAACAAGGGAAAGGAGGAAGAGAGGACCUUCCUGCUCCCCACACAUCAGCCUGUUUCCAGCCCAUGGCCUGUGGCACAUCUUCCUCCUGAGGCUGCAUGGAAGCCAAUGGAUUCCACAUUAAAGCAAUGUGAGGCUUGAUGCUGUGAAUGUGGAUGGAAAUGAUGUUGAAAUGUGAAAAGACUGAAGGCACAUGUGAGCUCUAAGUGCAUCCUGAUAAUAAUGUCCAGAUAGAUGCAUAUGAUCCCUUCCUGUCAUGGCUGUGAAGUUAUCUUCAGACCACAGAUCUGGAGAUUUAGGCUGCAUCUCCAGCUUCUUCAUACUGAGUGUAAACUACUGCUGUCCUCAGUGCUGAUGGAAAGACAGAAAGAACAUAGCUGGUUUCAUCGGAUCCACCCAGGCCAUUUGCAUUUCAGCACUGGACCACACCAGAUGAGGUCCAGCCUUCCUAUGGGAUGCUGCAGAGCGCUACAGUGAUAACUGAGGCAUCUGAAGAGAACCCAUUACCUUGCACCUACUUCUAGUAGAUGAAAUGCUAAUGCCUCUGUAUUGUCUGGUACACUGGGUCAGGGCUUCUCAUGGUUGGUGCCC
This 623-nucleotide long non-coding RNA is filed under the name Fukomys damarensis (Damara mole-rat). RNAcentral's name for it is "lncRNA (ENSFDAG00000022072.1)". Lineage: Eukaryota; Metazoa; Chordata; Mammalia; Rodentia; Bathyergidae. The record is from RNAcentral.